RNAcentral lists this long non-coding RNA (3604 nucleotides) under Sus scrofa (pig). Its description in RNAcentral is "lncRNA (ENSSSCG00060007497.1)". Lineage: Eukaryota; Metazoa; Chordata; Mammalia; Artiodactyla; Suidae. The record is from RNAcentral.
UUUUAGAGCUGCACCCAUGGCAUACGGAGGUUCCCAGGCUAGGAGUCCAAUCGGAGCUACAGCUGCCGGCCUACAGCACAGCCACAGCAAAGCCAGAUCCCAGCCGCAUCUGCGACCUACACCACAGCUCACGGCAACGCUGGAUCCUUAACCCACUGAGCGAGGGCAGGGAUCGAACCCUCGUCCUCAUGGAUGCUAGUCAGAUUCGCUUCUGCUGAGCCACAACGGGAACUCCGGAAACCACAGUCUUAUAAUAAGCUAAGAACACGCCUUACUCUACUAAGCUCCACCAAAGGCACGGCCACCUGCCAAACAGCGCCCCGCUCUGUUUGGGGCUUUUGGUUGCAGAGUGUGGUGCAGAGGAUGCCUCUGUCUCCAAAAGAACCAUGUUUCCACCUCCUAAGCCCCAAGACCAGCCAGACGGCUGUGAGGGUCCGGACACAGACGCAGCAUUGAGGGUCGCCCUUUUGGUUCAUUGCGGACCCAGGACGGGGCUCCCCGUGGCACAGUCCUGCGACCUUCUGCGGCGAAGUGUGUCUGCACCAUGAGCCUUUCUGCACCGGGCCCUCUGUCGUGCCCCAUCUCUGGAUCUCACUAUGCCCUGCAAGGGAACGGGACGGACCCAGGGGAUAUCAAACUCUGCUGCAAAGAAGCACAGCCCUGUUCUGUGCAGUCCCUUGGGGGUCCCCGAGGCAGCGGGGGGGCGGGGGAGGCAAGCACUGAAUUUCCCACCCCCAUUUCAGGCACAGAUGCUCCAAUCUGAUCUGGAGGAAAUACUGGACUUUGCAUUAAGAUUUCAGAGAGGAUUUUUUUAAAAUUCCUGUUAUAAGAAUAUAAAGCCAAAAAAAAAAAAGCGUGAAAACCGCUAUAUUAGAAGAUCUCUGGGUCAUGAAAACGACAACAUCCUAGAUCAGUCAGUCCAAGAAACCCAGAACCACAGCCGAAGUACAGGUGGCAACUGAGAGGCAGGGUUUUGGGUUUUUUUUCUUUUUUGGCUGCAAGGAGUAUGGACAUCCUGGGCCAGGGAUCAGAUCCAAGCCACGGCUGCGACCUACGCCAGAGCUUGUGGCAAUGCCGGAUCCUUGACCCACUGUGCCAGGCCAGGGAUUGAACUUUCGGCCCAAUGCUCCCAAUACACUGCUGAUCCCGUUGCACCACAGUGGGAACUCCUGAGGCAGGUUUCAGUGAGGAGGGCCCAUUCGGACUCCCGGAACAGUGUCUUACUAGGGGCACACACGCACACGCACACACCACGCACACACACACACACACACACACACACACACACACACACCCCGCCGGGGAGAAAAAAACAACUUCAGGGCUGGACUCCAUCCUGAUACAGCCUACAGAGACUGGCUUUGAGCAGGUCUGCAGAGCAGAUGGCCUCGGCUCGGAACACAGCUUCCCCGCGCUCCGCAGACCACGCACAGGACAAACAAGCAGAAGAUUAAGGUUGUGAGCAAAAGCUCCCCAGAGGGUACCUCCGUGAGGACCCGCUAGCACCUAGAAGCUAUGGAGGAGGAAUGGAGGCAUGAAAGAAGCGGGUGAGAGGAGGGAGAGAGGAAGGAAAGGGAAAAGGAAGCGAGGGCAGGGGGAGGCGGAGAGGCCCAGGGCCGCCCGGACAAUAAACAGCACCAGGCGGUGGGUCAGAAGACCAAACCCCAAAGGUGCCCAAUUCAGGGAAAGCAGAUGCUACCAGAAACUUGGCCCUUAAGGGACCAAGUUGAGGACACUUCCAGGGAGCUGGGACACAAGGAAGAGGAAGGGAAGAUUUUGUUUUUCCCCCUUUGCAAAGUAUGAACACCUACAGGCAAUAGGAUUCCUCCGGCGGCCAAGAAAGGCGAAAACCUCCAUGCUGAUCGUCACUUCCUUGGAAAGUAUGAGCUCAGAGGCCAAGCCUCAGCGCAGAGCUGUGAUUUCUCGUGUGUCAAAAGGAAAGCAGCUAUGGCCAACGUCACAUCGUUAUAUCGCCAUCUUUCUUGGUCCAAGCGGAAGAAAUGGAUACAGUACCGUCCAUCCUCUGGUCUCGCCCCACAAUACCACGGGCCAGGAAAGGAAGCUGCUAUGGCUAAGCAUCUUGGGAAGACACACAUAAAAAAGCGGAGCAAGAGCAGAAAUGUUUUGUAAGGUUGAGAUGCUCUGGGUUUGUCUGGUCCCCAAACACGAUGCAUGCCCUCCCAAAUGGAGCAUGUCCAUCAAGGCGGGGGGAAAACUUUGCUGCUAAAUCAUAAAUGCACUGGAUUCACAGACCUAAUUCUGACCUCUGCUGAGAAGCUGGCACUACACGCAAAGGCCAUAUUCUCCUCAAAGCCAUUCUGACAAGAAGCCAAUAGUCCACUAUGCCUCCAGAGAUUAUUAAUAUUGUGGUUUGGUUAGGAAUCAAUAAAUGUACUUUUUAAUCAUCCUUGCAGCCAAAAGCUAUUGAAUAGUCUUCUGUAAAUACCUAAAAACUGGUGCAAUUUAUUUUACUGCUAUUCCAACUACAGCAUUUGUUUUGAACAUGUUGUGUUAUUUGUGGUUUUUAAUCAGAUAUGUUAACAGAUUUUUAAGUGAGAAACAGGUUUGCAAUUUGGAAAUGGACUGGGUAUUACUUUGCCUUUCACGAGAACUGAAAAAGCUGUUAUACUUGUGGAAUAAAAAACAGAAUUUGAGGAAGUAUAAAAUCUUCAGAAUAAAUAUAAAAUACUUUAGGAGUUCCUGUCGCGGCUCAGCAGAAACGAGUCUAACUAGCAUCCGUGAGGAUGCAGGUUCGAUCCCUGGCCUCACUCAGUGGGUUAAGGAUCCAGCGUUGCCCUGAGCUGUGGUGUAGGUCGCAGACAUGGCUUGGAUCCCACAUUGCUGUGGCUCUGGUGUAGGCCGGUGGCUACAGCUCCGAUUAGACCCCUAGCCUGGGAACCUCCAUAUGCCGUGGGUAUGGCCCUAAAAUUGAAAAAAUAAGGCAAAAAAAUAAAAUAAAAUCCUUUAGCAUGAGAAGUGCUGGCUGACACGGGACAGCCACAAGAGUGCCCAAUUCCUCUGAGUCUUGAUUCAGACUUUGACGUAUAGACAGGUGCUGCUGUGAACCCACAAUUUCGACAAUGAAAUUAAAAAAGAGAACUUCGAGUAAUUCUGAGGGACACCAUCCAACCGUAGGUCUUUGCCAGUCCCUUGGGACACACAAGGCACAUGCCCAUAUUCAUAUCAAGCAACGCCGUUUCUUUCUUGCGGCUUCCCGACGGUGGUAAGAGCAGCGCCCAGGCUCUUAGAGAACUUGGGUCAAUGUGGGGGGCGGCCCCGGAGGAAGACUUUCAUCUCUCCCCCCGUCUCCCCUUCUCUCUGCCUCUGAACUCGGCCCUCCUUCCAGGGCUCGCACCCGCACUGCCUCCUCUAGGAAGCUGGCGUCACGUUCCUCAAAUCUGCAUGGCACUGCCGACCCUGCCACGAUCCAGUAUCUUAGAGCUGCUCCAGCUCUUUCUGCGUGUGUACCUUCUCCUCCCCGCUGCUCUCGAACAUGGUAAUUAUCCUCACCCAACAGCUCGCUGAGGCCCCAACAUACACUAAUGCCGAGGUACCACUGGGAGAAAUAAACAUGUGCUUAGAGACAAAAGUUCUCACUUGAAAG